Long non-coding RNA from Wasmannia auropunctata (little fire ant), 501 nucleotides. RefSeq lists it as uncharacterized. The record is from RefSeq and is a predicted model, not a curated record. The transcript has 3 exons. Lineage: Eukaryota; Metazoa; Arthropoda; Insecta; Hymenoptera; Formicidae.
UGCAGACGCGGGCCUAUAUCAAAAGUUCGCUUCCGUUGGGGCUCGCGAAAAAGGAGACGAUGACAUGGCUGCGUCAGAAAUGGAAAGGGUUGUCAAGAAUUCUCACAAGAGUUGUAGUGGGAGUGGUCGAUUACAUGGAAGUACAACGAAAAGCUACAAUGACUAAUUAGACGAGUUCGAAGUCCCAGGUCGACGAGGAUCUUAAGGAACUCAUCGAGUCACAGAACAUCUCAAGAAGCUUUAUGUUGAAUAAGAGAAGUUUCAAGAUGAAAAUACGAGUCUCAAGUAAAACAAUAUUUUUUAUGUUUCGGUAAAAAUAUUAUAUUUGAAAGAUAGCUGGGUUAAAUUUACCGAAAUUCAGAAUGUAUGUGUGCACAGUUAAAAAUCUAUAUAUUCUAAUAACGUACAUUUAUAUUUUCUGAUAAAAGUUGUUCAUACCGCAAAUACGUUGAUAGUUUUCCAUUAAAAUUUUUCAGAUUACAAAAGAGAAAUUAAAUUGUA